RNAcentral lists this ribosomal RNA (462 nucleotides) under uncultured bacterium. Its description in RNAcentral is "partial 16S ribosomal RNA". It matches the Rfam family "Bacterial small subunit ribosomal RNA", at positions 28 to 507 of the family's 1533-position model. The record is from RNAcentral.
GACGAACGCUGGCGGCGUGCUUAACACAUGCCAGUCGAACGGUAAGGCCUUUCGGGGUACACGAGUGGCGAACGGGUGAGUAACACGUGGGUGAUCUGCCCUGCACUUCGGGAUAAGCCCGGGAAACUGGGUCUAAUACCGGAUAGGACUGCGCGGUGCAUGCCGUGUGGUGGAAAGAUUUAUCGGUGCAGGAUGGGCCCGCGGCCUAUCAGCUUGUUGGUGGGGUAAUGGCCUACCAAGGCGACGACGGGUAGCCGGCCUGAGAGGGCGACCGGCCACACUGGGACUGAGACACGGCCCAGACUCCUACGGGAGGCAGCAGUGGGGAAUAUUGCACAAUGGGCGCAAGCCUGAUGCAGCGACGCCGCGUGAGGGAUGACGGCCUUCGGGUUGUAAACCUCUUUCAGCAGGGACGAAGCGUGAGUGACGGUACCUGCAGAAGAAGCACCGGCCAACUACGUG